RNAcentral lists this ribosomal RNA (253 nucleotides) under uncultured bacterium. Its description in RNAcentral is "partial 16S ribosomal RNA". It matches the Rfam family "Bacterial small subunit ribosomal RNA", at positions 524 to 776 of the family's 1533-position model. The record is from RNAcentral.
UACGUAGGGUGCGAGCGUUGUCCGGAAUUAUUGGGCGUAAAGAGCUCGUAGGCGGUCUGUCGCGUCGAAUGUGAAAACCCGGGGCUCAACUCCGGGCUUGCAUUCGAUACGGGCAGGCUAGAGUUCGGUAGGGGAGACUAGAAUUCCUGGUGUAGCGGUGGAAUGCGUAGAUAUCGGGAGGAACACCGGUGGCGAAGGCGGGUCUCUGGGCCGAUACUGACGCUGAGGAGCGAAAGCGUGGGGAGCGAACAGG